RNAcentral lists this ribosomal RNA (491 nucleotides) under uncultured bacterium. RNAcentral describes it as "bacterial SSU rRNA". It matches the Rfam family "Bacterial small subunit ribosomal RNA", at positions 791 to 1304 of the family's 1533-position model. The record is from RNAcentral.
UAGUCCACGCCGUAAACGAUGAGUGCUAGCUGUCGGGACAUUAGUCUCGGUGGCGCAGCUAACGCAGUAAGCACUCCGCCUGGGAAGUACGGUCGCAAGAUUAAAACUCAAAGGAAUUGACGGGGACCCGCACAAGCGGUGGAGCAUGUGAUUUAAUUCGAGGCAACGCGAAGAACCUUACCAGGACUUGACAUCCUUAUCGCGCGCACCAGAGAUGGAGCUUUCAGUUAGGCUGGACAAGAUACAGGUGCUGCAUGGCUGUCGUCAGCUCGUGUCGUGAGAUGUUCGGUUAAGUCCGGCAACGAGCGCAACCCACAUCUUUAGUUGCCAGCAGUUCGGCUGGGCACUCUAAAGAAACUGCCCGUGAUAAGCGGGAGGAAGGUGUGGAUGACGUCAAGUCCUCAUGGCCCUUACGGGUUGGGCUACACACGUGCUACAAUGGCAGUGACAAUGGGUUAAUCCCAAAAAGCUGUCUCAGUUCGGAUUGGGGU